This 415-nucleotide long non-coding RNA is filed under the name Bos taurus (domestic cattle). RNAcentral describes it as "long non-coding RNA NONBTAT021937". Lineage: Eukaryota; Metazoa; Chordata; Mammalia; Artiodactyla; Bovidae. The record is from RNAcentral.
UGGUAUUCAUGAGGCUGACAUAGAUUUAAAAAUUAGCUAUCUCUUACCUAGAGAACAGGAAGAGCCUGAAAAUGUGGGUCACAAAAAACAAAGGGCUAGGUCAGGACACUGCUUAGGUAGAAGGAAACUCAGAUGAGCCACUGAAAUGGGGGGCUCUGUGAAGCUAACUAUGGGGAUAGGAUUUAGUCUUUGACACAUGGACAGGUGCAAGAGAAAGAACCAAUUAAAUUAUUUUGUGUACUUUUAAAAAUUUUUGGUGGGAACAAUCAGAAAUACUACUUCAUAGAAAGACAAGUAAGAGAGGUAGAAAUGGAAAAGAGGCAGAUGAAGAAGGAAGGUAGAAAUGGAUGAAGGAUUGUGUUAUGGUAUUUAAAAACAAAAAGAAAAAAGGGCCCAAAACAAUUCAAGGCAUGAA